Non-coding RNA from Podarcis lilfordi (Lilford's wall lizard), 3387 nucleotides. The record is from the annotation of a GenBank genome assembly. Lineage: Eukaryota; Metazoa; Chordata; Lepidosauria; Squamata; Lacertidae.
GGAAGUUGCAACAAUAAUGUGUCCAAAUUCCCAUAAUAAUUACAUAAAAUUGGAAAAGCUCAUGGGGAGGCAAAUUAAAAUGCUAAAGGGUUUCUAAUACAUGAAAUAUGGAGAAAGAUGAAACAUUUUGGAACAUUCUGGAAGUGUUUAUCUUGGAAGGGUACUACUGAGUAGAAGUAUAUUGUAGUGCUGCUGUUGAUUAACAUAACUUUCAUGCUGCCAUCCAUGAAAAGUACAAUAAUCUAUAUUUAAUAGCUUGCACCCUUUCAGCAGUAUUCAGAAAUAGCUUAUUGUUCAACAUAAAUAGCUUCACUCAACUGUUGGCACUGAAAGACGCAAUGAAUUUGGGCUUCAUCUCCAGGUUGUCAAUUCUGUAGUAUUGCUGCCAUUUUGUUUUUAAUUUGCGGGGGGGGGGGGCAGCCAUGAAGGUUAGAAAUUUUUUCUUGACUAAAUGACUCCUGCCCAUUGAGUUUCAAAAAGAGGUUUAGUAGAGUGGGAUAGGCCACGAAGAAGGCAAAGAGCGGUUUAUAGGACAGUUGAAUGGUGCAGCACAGCAGGUUUAUCAGAAAAUGUUGGCAACAGAUUUAAACUGUAAAGAAAGCUGAGCAUUAUAACAAGUUGACCAGGAAUCCUGUGGCAUCAGUGAAGAUUAUAAGAAGAGACAAGGCAUUUGUUGAGAGUGUUCUUCACUAUGCUUCUGCUGGUUGACCAAGGUGUCCAUUGAAGGGCCCUCAGUUGUAUAGUACCUAAUGCUCCGAAUAUGUUUAAUUCUGACUGGCCUUCUUUCUUGAAUGCCAGUCCUCUCAGUUCCAUGUGAUUGCUGCAGCAAUGCUUUGAGAUAGAUUCUAGCUUGUUAAUUGCUGCAUGCCUUUAAUGGAGACAAGAGACAGAUUGAACUACUGUGAUUGCACCGUGAUUUUUUCUGGCCUUGGUCUCCUGCCUUGCCGCUCAUCUAUAGGCACCCGCAUAAUCACCUGAAUGAUUGGGUAACAUGUUAUGUUUGUUUAUGAAUUUUCCAAUACAUUCCAGAUAGGAUUUUUGAAAUACAUUAGCUCUAUGUAUUUCACGCGGGUGGCGCUGUGGGUUAAACCACAGAGCCUAGGACUUGCCGAUCAGAAGGUCGGCGGUUCGAAUCCCUGCAACGGGGUGAGUUCCCAUUGCUCGGUCCCAGCUCCUGCCAACCUAGCAGUUUGAAAGCACGUCAAGUGCAAGUAGAUAAAUAGGUACCGCUCCGGCGGGAAGGUAAACGGCAUUUCCGUGCGCUGCUCUGGUUCACCAGAAGCGGCUUAGCCAUGCUGGCCACAUGACCCGGAAGCUGUAUGCCGGCUCCCUUGGCCAGUAAAGCGAGAUGAGCACCCCAACCCCAGAGUCGGCAACGACUGGACCUAAUGGUCAGGGGUCCCUUUACCUUUACCUUUAGCUCUAUAAAGUUUCAGUUAACAUGCUCAUUUAUGUUCCAUUGGAAAGCAUACAGCAUUGAACCCAGAUUAAGUUAGUUGUAAUUAAAGGUAAACGAACUAUUCUCAGUGGCUGACUCACAUAAAAUGCAUUGCAGUAAUUAAACCUAAAGGUUGCCAAAGCAUAGCUCACUCUAGCUAGGCUAUUUCUGUCCAGGAAAGGUCACAGCUCCCCAACCAACCAAAAAAGGUUCUGCAGGGCCACUGAAGCCGCUUGGGUCACUAUUGGUAAGGAGCACCUCCAAGCUCCUAGAGGCAGGUUUUGUUAGUUGGCUUUUGUUUUUUAAAACUAAUUUUAUGAAAAUACUGGGAGGGGUGGCUAACACCCCAGAGGACAGGAUCACACUUCAAAACGACCUUGACAGAUUAGAGAACUGGGCCAAAACAAACAAGAUGAAUUUUAACAGGGAGAAAUGUAAAGUAUUGCACUUGGGCAAAAAAUGAGAGGCACAAAUCCAAGAUGGGGACACCUGGCUUGAGAGCAGUACAUGUGAAAAGGAUCUAGGAGUCUUGGUUGACCACAAACUUGACAUGAGCCAACAGUGUGACGCGGCAGCUAAAAAGCCAAUGCAAUUCUGGGCUGCAUCAAUAGGAGUAUAGCAUCUAGAUCAAGGGAAGUAAUAGUGCCACUGUAUUCUGCUCUGGUCAGACCUCACCUGGAGUACUGUGUCCAGUUCUGGGCACCACAGUUCAAGAAGGACACUGACAAACUGGAACGUGUCCAGAGGAGGGCAACCAAAAUGGUCAAAGGCCUGGAAACGAUGCCUUAUGAGGAACGGCUAAGGGAGCUGGGCAUGUUUAGCCUGGAGAAGAGGAGGUUAAGGGGUGAUAUGAUAGCCAUGUUCCAAUAUAUAAAAGGAUGUCACAUAGAGGAGGGAGAAAGGUUGUUUUCUGCUGCUCCAGAGAAGCGGACACGGAGCAAUGGAUCCAAACUACAAGAAAGAAGAUUCCACCUAAACAUUAGGAAGAACUUCCUGACAGUAAGAGCUGUUUGACAGUGGAAUUUGCUGCCAAGGAGUGUGGUGGAGUCUCCUUCUUUGGAGGUCUUUAAGCAGAGGCUUGACAACCAUAUGUCAGGAGUGCUCUGAUGGUGUUUCCUGCUUGGCAGGGGGUUGGACUCGAUGGCCCUUGUGGUCUCUUCCAACUCUAUGAUUCUAUGAUUCUACUUUUUUUGAUACAAUGAAACAUUUGUAAGUAUUCUCUUGUCUCAAAAUUCAAAAGUUAUAGAAGUAGAAAUGGAAUACAAAUUUAAUUUCUGUAGUUUUAGGGAGGAGCAAACGAACUCAUGGCAGGGAAGGCUCUGGGAGGGAUCAGCUGAUGAGUGGGGGUUAAAUCCUGCUGCCUUAACUGGAAAUCCUGUUGCCUCCUAGGAACAGGAUCACACAGCAACUUUAAGAUUAAACCUGGCAUCACAGUUGAUGGGUGGAUUGCCAUGGUUUGGGGGAAAUGGCUUUAUGGGCCAAGAUUCACUCAAGAUUCACAGGCUGAAGAUUAGAAGGGUGACUUUUAAAUUGUUAGAGAAAUAAAAUAAAAUGUCCGUAUUCAACUUUGAGGCUCUUAAAAACAACAUCAACACCUGGAGCUGAGGGGGCUGUAAGAAUUGGGCAGCUGGAAAGAAACAAAUAUCCCAGAAACACUUCAAAUGCACAAAUGUGGUCCCUUGUACCUCUCCAUCAAGGCCAGAGCUAGAAGUCUGGGAUCCAAAGGCCAGAGCUCAGUCCGCCAAGAAUCUGCCACGUGUUAGAGGAGCAUCGCAUGAAGCAGAAAUGGCUGGUUGGUGCAGGGACAUCUCUGCAUCCCAGCUAUGGUUUAUAUGCUGAAUUAGGAGAAGUUUGGGGUUUGUCUUCUUUCCUUGUUAAUCGUCAAAACCCUGCACUUUUCAAUCCCCUAGUCUCAUGACCGGGAAUAUCUUAAAUUGUAGAAAUAUUUU